GCAAUGGGGGCAACCCUGACCGAGCAACGCCGCGUGAGUGAAGAAGGUUUUCGGAUCGUAAAGCUCUGUUGUAAGAGAAGAAACGAGUGUGAGAGUGGAAAGUUCACACUGUGACGGUAACUUACCAGAAAGGGACGGCUAACUACGUGCCAGCAGCCGCGGUAAUACGUAGGUCCCGAGCGUUAUCCGGAUUUAUUGGGCGUAAAGCGAGCGCAGGCGGUUAGAUAAGUCUGAAGUUAAAGGCUGUGGCUUAACCAUAGUACGCUUUGGAAACUGUUUAACUUGGGUGCAGAAGGGGAGAGUGGAAUUCCAUGUGUAGCGGUGAAAUGCGUAGAUAUAUGGAGGAACACCGGUGGCGAAAGCGGCUCUCUGGUCUGUAACUGACGCUGAGGCUCGAAAGCGUGGGGAGCAAACAGGAUUAGAUACCCCUGGGUAGUCCACGCCGUAAACGAUGAGUGCUAGGUGUUGGGGUCCUUUCCCGGGACUCAGUGCCGCAGCUAACGCAUUAAGCACUCCGCCUGGGGAGUACGACCGCAAGGUUGAAACUCAAAGGAAUUGACGGGGGCCCGC
Molecule: ribosomal RNA, 570 nt
Filed under: Streptococcus sp. oral taxon 065
Lineage: Bacteria; Bacillati; Bacillota; Bacilli; Lactobacillales; Streptococcaceae
Description: bacterial SSU rRNA
Rfam family: Bacterial small subunit ribosomal RNA
Source: RNAcentral